This is a long non-coding RNA of Herpailurus yagouaroundi (jaguarundi), 125 nucleotides long. RefSeq lists it as uncharacterized. NCBI's taxonomy places the organism in Eukaryota, Metazoa, Chordata, Mammalia, Carnivora, Felidae. The transcript has 3 exons. The record is from RefSeq and is a predicted model, not a curated record.
GUUUGAUCUAAGCCCUCUCCUAUGGUCUCUACACUCAAUGAUUAUACUUUUGCUACUUUCUUCUCAGUGUGGGGUCCAGUCCUGUCCUUAAAAGGGAGUCUUGUUUUGAGAGGUGUUUUGAGAGU